AUUUAACGUCUUUUUAAACGGAACAUGAGAUUAAUUUUAAUCGAAUCACAGCAAAAUAAAAAACACAAUGGAAAAUAAUGAAACCGUUAAUUACGAAAACAUACGUUUUUCCAAUUGUUACAACGGCCGUACGCACUACGCACUGAUGAGACAAAGAAAAGAUGUUAAAUUUGGAAUUCAGAGCAAGAUUUUUGGUAGAAAAACUCAAUUUAAAAAAUGUAAAAUACAAUAUAAUGAAACUGUUUAAUCAAACAAUUAGGAAAAUCUAAAAAUUGACGUUUCAAUACGCCGACUAAGUUUAAAAUUCGGCAAAAAAGCUCUCUUAUUUGGAGUAAGGUUUCCGGUAGAUUCUGUAACAAAAUGGCAUAAACAGUUUGAAAUUUUGAAUAUUUCGCAGCUCCGCGUCGUUACAUACGGUUUUUGAUCGCAUGUAUUUUCUAUUAUUUUGAAGUAACGUACUUGCAGCUAAAUAUUACUGUAGUAAGAAAUAUGAAUAAAUCACGAACGCGUUUUUACGAUCGUUUACUAACAUUUUGUAU
Molecule: non-coding RNA, 539 nt
Organism: Cinara cedri
Lineage: Eukaryota; Metazoa; Arthropoda; Insecta; Hemiptera; Aphididae
Source: the annotation of a GenBank genome assembly